ACGGGAGGCAGCAGUGGGGAAUAUUGGGCAAUGGGCGAAAGCCUGACCUAGCAACGCCGCGUGAAGGAAGAAGGCCUUCGGGUUGUAAACUUCUUUUACCAGGGACGAAGGACGUGACGGUACCUGGAGAAAAAGCAACGGCUAACUACGUGCCAGCAGCCGCGGUAAUACGUAGGUUGCAAGCGUUGUCCGGAUUUACUGGGUGUAAAGGGCGUGUAGGCGGAGCUGCAAGUCAGAUGUGAAAUCCCGGGGCUCAACCCCGGAACUGCAUUUGAAACCGUUUUUCUUGAGUAUCGGAGAGGCAGGCGGAAUUCCUAGUGUAGCGGUGAAAUGCGUAGAUAUUAGGAGGAACACCAGUGGCGAAGGCGGCCUGCUGGACGACAACUGACGCUGAGGCGCGAAAGCGUGGGGAGCAAACAGGAUUAGAUACCCUGGUA
This is a ribosomal RNA of 437 nucleotides. It matches the Rfam family "Bacterial small subunit ribosomal RNA", at positions 341 to 792 of the family's 1533-position model.